This is a long non-coding RNA of Anas platyrhynchos (mallard), 5594 nucleotides long. RefSeq lists it as uncharacterized. NCBI's taxonomy places the organism in Eukaryota, Metazoa, Chordata, Aves, Anseriformes, Anatidae. The record is from RefSeq and is a predicted model, not a curated record.
GCAAUGUACCUUUGAACCAGAAUAUCCUCACUUCCAAAUCCCCCCACUGUCAGGCUUUACUGGGGUUGAUAGCUGUGGGUGCCAAGACAGAUCGAGCAUUGUCCUGAAUCCCACCUUACAGCCACGCUGCUCUGCACCACAGAGCAAGCAGAGGAGCAAAAUAAGAGGCAACCAGGCUGCAGAGCUGCAGCACGAGGAACAGAUUUGUGCUUGGGAUCUCUCCCCGUAGGAAAGAGUGAUCAUAAAAGGCAGAGGCAAGGAAGAAGGGAAAGGCUGGAAGAGCUGGAGAGGAACAGGAAGGGAAGGUUUCACGUGCUGGCUCGGGCUGUAGGAGCCAAAAGCAUUCAAGGCAGAGGCUCGGGGCAGGGGGAGGGCACUCAAGGACACUGCAGCAGAACUUGCAGGCGCUCGGAGCUCGCGCUGAACUUUGUGUUCCCGGCUGCCUGUUUUGGAGCGUGCUCAGGGGAUGCCUCCCCUUGGGAGCUCGCCUGCUGGAAGGAGGACACGCCGCCGCAGCUCCGUGGGGCUGGUGGCGUGGUGACGGCGGCGCAUAGGCAUGCUGUGAUGCAGCAGCUUUAUAGGGCGCUAGAAAAUCAUGCCAGGGUAAAGGGAUGGCACCCACAGGUUUUACAGCUCCGGGGACCCUUCGUGGCCCACAACGGUAGCCACUCGGCACGUGUGGAAUUCAGCUGGUUCCUUUCGGGGAGGGUUGGAGCAGCUUCCUCAGGUCGGUUCCAUGUGUUGCUCAAUCCUCCCCCCCUUCUUCAAGCCCCCUUCAGCUGGGAUUUGAAUCUGCUCCGCACACAACAAAGCUCAGCCAGAAAGGAAGCCUCGCAUGGUUUGCCCAAAACUGUUAAGGGAGCCCAGAGGUCAUUACAAAACUUAGUAAAUAUUAACAGACCGUCUUCUUAAGACAGCUUGUAAGGCCUGGAAAGUUUCGUAUUCUCCAAGACACGAGACGAAGGGCCGUGUUUGGUAAGCCAACCCUGGGAUGCAGCCGGGGCUCCUGGUAAGCUGGAGCUGCAUCGUGCACCCAUCAGCACAGCCUGCAGGGAGCUGCCCAGGUUACCCUGUACUCCUGCAGACCUCCCGGAGCCACUGAAUCGGGGCAGCAAUUUGGGACAGCCUCAGAAAUUCACGCUGGAGGUCUGUAAGAUCCAGCCGUGCACCACGAUCCAGCCAAACGCCGUGUGAAGGUAAAUCCAGCCUCAGCACUUCGCUGCAACUCCUUUCCUCUGUGCCAAGGGCCAGCCCUCCCCGCAGGAGUCCCUUGCUGUAGCACUCGCUGUUCUCCCGUCCCAGGAAGGAGCCAAAAGCUGACAGGUCGUUGCUUGGGAAAGGGCACGGGGCACCUGCUGCAGCACACAGGAGCCAGCAGCGAGGAUGGCGAGGAGCAGGGUGACACUUCUGCACUGCUCACCACUCUGUUCAAGGCAAACUGGCGGCACCUUCACCCACGUGGAGGACAGACAUGGAUAUUAGGUCUCAAAGCACGAUGGCUGUUUGCAGUGUAAAUGGCAGAGUGUGUGUGUAUCCUCCAUCCCACAGGAUACAAGUGCUAGUUUGCCUCGAGUAAGGAGGCAAGCAUAUUUUGGUGCAAUCCCACACCAAAUCUUGUUCUUUUCAUCUCACAAAACUGUGCUAAAAUGACCAAUCUGCUUUUAAUAAAUGCCAUUGAGAAGCUGCAGCUUGAGGAGGAUUUUGAGAGCACCGCACUGAGAUAAGCAACCUGUACUGAACCCUAACCAGAGCACCUCAUGGGCACACUCAUGGCAAUAAUUAUAUAAGAAGUAGUUUAAUUGAGAUGAAGUUCCUGUAUCGUUUGUGCUCCACUGACAAAAUACAAGGCAAGGAAACAGAGGAGCUUCAUAAUUGUCUCCCGUACACACACGGCUGCUGCUGCUCACUUCUUAAAUAACACAACCCAAGCCUCCCGUCUGUGUUCCCUGUUCCCAAUCCCUCCGUUAACUCCUCUACACAAGGAAUGUGGGGUUGGACACCAGCGCGUGGGGACAAGCCAGCACUCCUUCCCCUGCUCCCUGCUCGCUGGAACCCCUUGGAAGGCUCCUACUGAAAUCUGCUCCUGCCAUGAGACCAAUACUGCGGCUCAGGAAGGCGAAGCUGCACAGACUGCUUUGUUUUUGUAGGGUUGCUAGGAAGCACUGGUUCACAUUACCGAUUUUUUUUAAGGUCUCUAAACUACACAUCAAAACAAGUUAUUCCGCAUGUACCAGAAGCAAUGAAGCCUGGCUUCCACCAGCUUUGGGUCCUGUGUCCAUAAACAUAUUUCUUUUUUUUUUUUUCCCCAGAGCAAUGUCCCCUCCAUCUCCCGAAAGCCAGGAUCUCUGCUUGGCAGCACAAGAGGGAGCAGAGGCUGUAGCUGGGGCACAACUAGGAACUGGUUUAUUGGCUGGCCGGGAGCUACAAACAGUGGCUGAUUGCUAAAUUCUGCCUGUCUUGCUCUCGCUGGGGGACUAAUUUUGGACUUUCUCUGCUAUCUAGUCAUCGGUUUUCAUAAAAUUUGUAGAAACUUUGUGAUUUGAUGAGCCUAGCUGAAAUCUGGCCGAGAUUUUUUGGAGGGUAGAAUAGAGCAGUGGACAGGCAGACAGGCAGGCUGCACAGGCUGGAAAUCGGGCUGGAAGUGCACUCAGCAAGGAACUACCUCAAGUUUGUAAUAAUAAUAAUAAUAAUAAUAAAAGGAAAAAAAAAAAAAAAAAAGCACUUCUCAUUAAGUCCCAGAUACUCGGUCAACCUUUGUAGCUGUGCCUGAUAAUGGUUCUUCUGACACAUUUAACGAACACACCUAGGACCUGGCAAGCAUGACUGGCAGAGCGCUGCUGCCAUGAAUAUUCACAUCAGGGUGUUGCAAUUUAAAUGACACAGAUGCCACUAAAAUGCCAAGGUCCAGAGUGUGAAAGCAAACAGAGCAGCUCUGGGAAACCCAAGCCAUGCAGCCGGCCGCUCGCUAGUGGCAGCGUUGCACCUCCUCCACACGGCAGCAGAGCGAGUGCCUUCCCUUUCUCGAGUUUUCCCUUUAAAAGGACCUUUUGGGGAGAUUUUCUCCUGGUUGCUAACGGGCGUUCAGCAGCGCUAGCAACACAGGGAGCGUGGGUGUGGAGCACCUGGAGAGGCGCCGGGAGGUACGCGAGCGCUCGCAGCACGUGCGUGCCGAGUGUCUGUGGGCAAGGGGCGGCACACGUGGAUGCACAGCCAUGGGCACGGGCAUCGAGCCCAGGGCACCUGAUCUUCUUCCUGAGUCACUUUGGCUUAAGAGCAUGGGGCUGAAGGUGAAACCAGGCGUCCUGAAGGAAGAAGGUCUGUAUCAACACACGUCAUGGCCACAGGAUGGCUGAGGCUGGAGGGUACCCCUGGAGGCCACCCAGUGCAGCUGCCCAGGACCAUAUCCAGCUUGCUCUUGAACGUCUCCAAGGAUGGAGACUCCAAAACCUCUCUGGAUAGCCUGUGCCAGUGCUCCAUCACUGCUCACAGCAAAAAAAAAAGUGUUUUUUUUUUAUGUUCAGACCUCCCCCAUUUUGUUUGUGCCCAUCGCCUCCUGUCCUGUCACUGGGCACCAUCGAGAAGAGCCGGGCUCCAUCCUCCCUGCAGCCUCACUUCAGGAAUUUGUACACAUGGAUGAGAUUCCCCUGAGCCUUCUCUCCAGGCUGAACAGUCCCAGCUCUCAGCCUCUCCUCACCUGAGAGAUGCUCCAGUCCCUUAAACAUGUCAGUGGCCCUUCACUGGUCUCUGCAGCACCUCCACCUCUCUCUCUUGCCCUGGGGAGCCCAGAAGUGGAUGCAGCACUGCAGAUGUGCCCGCAGGCAUAAAUCCAGACUAUCUAAGGCACUGUUGAGGGUAUUUGGUUGUGUGGAUACCUCCUUGCUAAACACGGAGACCUCCUUCUCAUCACCUUCCUGCUCUGACGUGACUCUAGGAUGAACAAUGUCUAAGAAUGAGGCAUUUGGAGAUGGGAAAAAGGGUACGAGGACAUGUAACAGCAGGACCAUGCAGUGCCCUACAGAGCAUGACCAUGCACCAUCCCCAGGCUCUCAAGACAGGGCUGAAGCAAGCAAGGACACAGCAGCAGCUAUAGAUCAAUACCUCAAAGAUGUCCUUAAACAUUAUUUAUCACCAACAGCUAGACGGGUUUCAUCUCGUGUGAACUGCUCACUCCCCAAAGUCCCACCACAUUCAGCAAGACUCUACUUAUAUUGAAAAAGUUUUUUUAUGAGACUUUUCUCUCAAAUAAUUGAUAAGUUCUUGCUGCCUCCCCUCUUUGAUCGGCCUCAGCCCCGGUUGUGCCCAAGGUCUGGUCUUGUUCCAGCCCAUCUCAUUAUCUGAAGCACCAGAAGCAGGUGGUGUUUACAGGACUCGUAGAAGAAACUGGAUUUCUGUGCAAAGAAUACAAAUCUGAAGGCCAUGGUGGGAAGCAAAAUUCAUCCAGAACAAACACUGCUCAGCCCUGUUUGUUUAUGGAUCUCUUUGUUUUCUUAGUCCUACUCCACAGCUUUUUCCUUCUUCUUCCCCAUCCCUUCUUCCUGAUCUUUUCCUCCCCAAAGUACAGUGUCAGCAUCCAUCAACGCCAGAGAGGAGACUCCCACAGACUUCAGUGGUUUCUGAAGCCUUUCAGACCCUCUGACCUCUCUCCCCUAGAGAGAGGGGACACAAAUCAUCUGUUCGGUGUGUCCAAGCACGGGGAGAGCAGUAAAUGGGUGAACAAAAUGAAGGCCAGGAGACAGAUGUUAUCUAGGCCCUUCUCUCUGAUCCAUUUCAGACUUUUUUUUCCCAGGGCUAUAAAGGUGAGGACUGUGCUAUACCAGGGUGGAUUUGGGGAGGUUUCAGGAGACCACAGAAGAGAUGUGUCAGAAGGCUGAGCCUGCUCUUUUUAAUCCAUUUGAUGGAGAGGAGGGACUACUCUGGCUGCAAUUUCUGCUGUAACAUCAACUUCAAAAAACAGGACACAUCCAGGCUUCAAAAGCAUGGAGUUACUGCAAGCACUGACACGGAGCUUGGGGGCUUUGGCAAACAUUAAAAUUAGCCCCGAGGCAUGCCACCUGGGCAGCCAGCUACUGGUGGGCCUCAAAAGCAAACGUGCUGGAAAGCGUGUCACCUGGCCGUGCUCUCCAGACACCGUGUUCAGGGCAUCGUAACCCACCAGCCUGCACGUCAGCAGGGUUCCUCAUACAAGGAAUGAGUGCUUGGGAGGCCAGAAUGCCCCAUGGAGCAGAAGGAUUUUAGCUCAGAGCGUUAAACAUCCCUAAUCCUGCUGGUAUCUGCCUCACUUUGGGAUUUCUGUAGCAACCUGGGCUUUUCUGCACACCCUUUUUUUUUUUUUUUCUUGCAUUCUUUCAUUGUUUCUCAGUUCUAGGAGGAUCUCAAACUAAUGUCCUCUCACCCCAUCCCCAAAUGUCGAGGGGAUGUUUGAAAAUCAGAGGCAGAAAGACAUUUCCCUCUGCAAAUGAACCAGGCGUGUGAAAAAGGAGUGCCCCUCCUUCUCAGAACGCGGAGGGCUGAGGAGGACAGGACACACAAGCCUACAGUGAAAGCCUCAGGAAGGAGAUUUCAGGAAUAAAUGUGGUUUUGUUCCUUGAAAAUAA